AAAGAUUAAGCCAUGCAUGUCUAAGUAUAAGCAAUUGUACUGCGAAACUGCGAAUGGCUCAUUAUAUAAGUUAUCGUUUAUUUGAUAGUGCCCUACUACUUGGAUAACUGUGGUAAUUCUAGAGCUAAUACAUGCUACAAAUCCCGACUUCGGAAGGGAUGUAUUUAUUGGAUUAAAAACCAAUGCCCCCUNGGGCUCUCUGGUGACUCACGAUAACUGCUCGAAUCGCACGGCCCUGCGCCGGCGAUGGUUCAUUCAAAUUUCUUCCCUAUCAACUUUCGAUGUUUGGGUAGUGGCCAAACAUGGUUGCAACGGGUAACGGAGGGUUAGGGCUCGACCCCGGAGAAGGAGCCUGAGAAACGGCUACUACAUCCAAGGAAGGCAGCAGGCGCGCAAAUUACCCAAUCCCGACACGGGGAGGUAGUGACAAUAAAUACCGAUACAGGGCUCUUUUGGGUCUUGUAAUUGGAAUGAGUACAAUUUAAAUCCCUUAACGAGGAACAAUUGGAGGGCAAGUCUGGUGCCAGCAGCCGCGGUAAUUCCAGCUCCAAUAGCGUAUAUNNNNNNNNNNNNNNNNNNNNNNNNNNNNNNNNNNNNUUGGGCCUGGCUGGCCGGUCCGCCUCACCGCGUGUACUGGUCCGGCCGGGCCUUUCCCUCUGUGGAACCCCAUGCCCUUCGCUGGGCGUGGCGGGGAAACAGGACUUUUACUUUGAAAAAAUUAGAGUGCUCCAGGCAGGCCUAUGCUCGAAUACAUUAGCAUGGAAUAAUGAAAUAGGACNUCUGGUUCUAUUUUGUUGGUUUCUAGGACCGCCGUAAUGAUUAAUAGGGACAGUCGGGGGCAUCAGUAUUCAAUUGUCAGAGGUGAAAUUCUUGGAUUUAUUGAAGACUAACUACUGCGAAAGCAUUUGCCAAGGAUGUUUUCAUUAAUCAGGAACGAAAGUUAGGGGAUCGAAGACGAUCAGAUACCGUCGUAGUCUUAACCAUAAACUAUGCCGACUAGGGAUCGGACGAUGUUAUCUUUUGACUCGUUCGGCACCUUACGAGAAAUCAA
RNAcentral lists this ribosomal RNA (1051 nucleotides) under Nigrocornus scleroticus. RNAcentral's name for it is "partial small subunit rRNA". It matches the Rfam family "Eukaryotic small subunit ribosomal RNA", at positions 39 to 1101 of the family's 1831-position model. Lineage: Eukaryota; Fungi; Ascomycota; Sordariomycetes; Hypocreales; Clavicipitaceae. The record is from RNAcentral.